CCUCGUCUUCUGGGCUAUCAACAUCUUCACGUCCUUGAUUUCUUCAUUCCGAUCUAAUCCAAUAUUUGAAAAAAACUAAAUUUUCAAAGCAAUGUUUCCCAAUGAGUGACGAGUGUCUCUAAGUUGUUGUCUUGCUUGGCUAAAUGUACUCUCUCAUGCAAUAGUAGAAAUUGGCACAUUCAGCACGUCCCGAGCCAUAGCAAAAAAAACAAAAAAUUGUUUUUCAUUCUCAUGCCACCAUCCCAACGAUAAAAAUUUCUUUGUGCGAGACUUUUUUUGCUUCUGCAAGUAGAAUUGAAGUUCAUCAAUGUUCCUGCUAUUUGAUUAAUCAUCCUGGAGCUAAGGCUCCAUCUCGAUUAAUUUUGAGUUGGGUGCGAUCAAUUCCUAGUCUCCAAGGAGAUCUUGGAUGUGACUGCUGAGGGCUUCGCCUCUUUCAAAUUUUCAAUCCUCUAGGUUCUUGGCUUUAUUUUUAGUUUUUGAUUUAAUUCUGUAAAAGCUGGUCUUUGAUCCUUUUUGAUGGCGAAGCAACCUGAAUCCUCAGUUGGAUAGUUUUGUUUUGAAAUUCUUGAAAAGCUGGUCUUUGAUGCCAUUUUGAUGGUUUGAGUGUUAGAAAAUAUAGAAAAAACAUCAAAAUUAUCAAGGCCUUCUUCAUCAUCCACAGUAGGAUAAGUGGUACAGUGCAUAGUGGGAUUAACAUUGCUUACAUCACGAGCAACAUCAUCAAUUACAUUUGCAUAAUAAUAAUAUAAUUGUUGUAAAUAAUUAUUUAGCUUGUUCAUAGAAACAUAUAAAUCUGGGGUUUCAGUUGAUCCAAUCUCCAUAUAAGUAUAUAAAGUAUUCAUUAAUUGGUGAUAGUUAGACAUCUUAGUAGAAGGAUUUAAAACAUCACUAAUUAAGUAAAUCAGAGGAAUUUGAAAGAAAUAUUUUUUGAGUUUUGCUUGCAUUUUUUCAACAACAUCCUUAUUUUUCUUUCUUCUUAAAUUUAAAGAGUAGAAAAAUAAUUUCAGCUAUAUGUACUAACGCCAUAGUAACAGUAGGGUAAUAUGCUCCAGAAAACUCAACAGUAGCUGUAUAAAAUUUAUGUAAAAAUUUAACAACAUCAUUAAUGACCUCCCAGGUACUAGUAACAUACAGUUUGGAUCAGUACAAUGCGCAUUAGCAACUUCAGUUAUUGGGAAUCUCUAUUUGUAGCAACAUUUUAAAAAUAUAUAUUUAUAAUUCCAUCUAGUAACAAUUUUGUCUGGCAUGAAUCUGGGUUUACGGUUAUAUUGGAUACACUUAUUCUUAAAUUCCUUUAUUCUAGAUUGUCUAUUAUUUCCUUGAAUAACACCAACUGCUCUUCUAACAUGAGUAAUCUCAGUUGAAAAUAAAUCAAGGUUACUUUUAACAGUUAAAUUAUAAACAUGACAUGCACACCUAAUAUGAAAAAUGUCAUCAAGAGGUGGUUUCAAAUGUAGUUUUAAUAUUGAAAUUGCGGAAUUAUUGUUAGAAGCAUUAUCAAAAUACAUACACAAUACUUUUUGCUUUAGAUUAUAAAAUUCAAUAACUUCACAAAUGGUACUACUUAUAAACGCAGCAGUAUGACUCUGAUUUUCAUCAUAUCUAAAAGCGAUAAUACGUUUUUUCAUUCAAGUAGUAUCAUCUAUCCAAUAACAUGUAAUUAUCAAAUAAUUAUUUUCAUUAACAACAUGUCUAAUGUCAGAAGUUAGAGAAACUCUACAAGGAAGGUGGCUAAACAAAUAACAUAUGCAUAUUUGAUAUUGUCCAUGAAGUCUAAAGAUAUCAGCUCUACAUGUACUUCUAGGGAUACCUAUAAAUAAAGGACUGUAAAUCCUUUGAAUAUACAUAAUAAGAUGUGAUGAAGAAUCAAAAGAAAAGGUAGACAACCCAAAGCAAUUAUUUUUUUCAACUCCCCACGAUCCUUUAUUUUAUCAUAUUUCACUAGACCUCCAGUAGUAGGGUUAAGAGUUUUUUUAUUUCCAUCACCGUCCCUAUUCUUUGGGAUGCUCAGUUCUCAUAUGUCUACUAAGCAUCCCAAUCCCCCUAAAUUUUCUCCAGUCAAGUGUUUAAAAUCACCAUUACAAAUUUUGUAUUUAACUCUAUCAGUACCUUUUAUUAUUUUAAAAAAAAAUCAAACCUUACUUCUUUUUCAACGAUUAGUAGUCGGAGCCACAGGUGAUCUACUCCUAGUGCCACGACCACCAUCCCUUGUAGCAAUUCCAACACUACCAGCUCCAGCACUAGUAGGUGUACUGGUAUCUUAUCUUCCAC
This 2271-nucleotide long non-coding RNA is filed under the name Nicotiana benthamiana. RNAcentral describes it as "long non-coding RNA (NBEN_LNC039323)". Lineage: Eukaryota; Viridiplantae; Streptophyta; Magnoliopsida; Solanales; Solanaceae. The record is from RNAcentral.